This is a non-coding RNA of Danio rerio (zebrafish), 567 nucleotides long. Lineage: Eukaryota; Metazoa; Chordata; Actinopteri; Cypriniformes; Danionidae. The record is from Ensembl.
UGCAGCAGUGAAGCAAACCCAGCAGCGAACUACAGCUGGUACAGACACACUGAAGGAGACCUGGAACCACCGACUGGACCAAACCUGACUAUCAGCAACACCAACCUGACUGGACCAAACCUGACCAUCAGCAAUGUCAACCCGGCCCACAGAGGACGAUACUACUGUAGAGCUGAAAACCAACACGGGACUCAGAACACAUCAGUGCUGCUGGACGUCCAGUUUCCACCCAAAAUCUCCAGCUCUUGUAGCCAAAACGACACACUCGUCUGCAUCUGUAAGGUUGACGGGAAUCCUCUGCCUAAACUACAGUGGCGUCUGUCUGGAAAUGUUCUCAAUUCCACUGAAGAAAUGCAGAUAAGUGAGCAAACUGUAGGAAACAAGAGCUUGGAGAGCAUCCUGAGCAUCCGCCAGUCUCUCUCAGACUCAUCAGUCCUGCAGUGUUGGACUGCAAACGCUCACGGAUCCGCCAGCCACCAGUUUCAGCACAUCACAACAACACCAGACACAGGUCUCCAUCCUGCAUGUUUGCUGCUGGGAUUUUCUGUAGGAGCAUCACUCGUCCUG